UAACAUGAGAGUUUGAUCCUGGCUCAGAACGAACGCUGGCGGCAGGCUUAACACAUGCAAGUCGAACGUGAAGCCGGGCUUCGGCCCGGUGGAAAGUGGCGCACGGGUGAGUAACGCGUGGGAAAUUACCUAGCAGUACGGAAUAACUCCGGGAAACCGGCGCUAAUACCGUAUACGCCCUCCGGGGGAAAGAUUUAUCGCUGUUGGAUGUGCCCGCGUCGGAUUAGGUAGUUGGUGGGGUAAUGGCCCACCAAGCCCGCGAUCCGUAGCUGGUUUGAGAGGAUGAUCAGCCACACUGGGACUGAGACACGGCCCAGACUCCUACGGGAGGCAGCAGUGGGGAAUAUUGGACAAUGGGCGCAAGCCUGAUCCAGCCAUGCCGCGUGAGUGAAGAAGGCCUUCGGGUUGUAAAACUCUUUCACCGG
Molecule: ribosomal RNA, 425 nt
Filed under: Alphaproteobacteria bacterium
Lineage: Bacteria; Pseudomonadati; Pseudomonadota; Alphaproteobacteria
Description: bacterial SSU rRNA
Rfam family: Bacterial small subunit ribosomal RNA
Source: RNAcentral